UAGGAUUCCUCAGUAUGGCGAAUGACNGGGAUGAGCUCAGUAUGGAAAUUGGGGCCUGUGGCCUUGAAUUGUAGUCUGGAGAUGUACCACCAACUGGGGCGCAGAUGUAAGCCUCUUGGAAAAGAGCAUCAAUGAGGGUGAGAGUCCCGCUUGGCAUCUGCAGUCCCCAGUGCACGGUGUACCUUCUAAGAGUCACGUUCCUCGGGAUUGGAGCGCAAAUCGGGUGGUAAGUUUCAUCUAAAGCUAAAUAUAGUUUCGAGACCGAUAGCAAACAAGUACCAUGAGGGAAAGGUGAAAAGGACUUUGAAAAGAGAGUUAAAAGUGCCUGAAAUUGCUGAAAGGGAAGCGAAUGGAACCAGCGUAACUUGGCGAGAUUGCUGCGUGUCAAUGUGAUUGCUUGCUGCUUCAACGUAAGUGUUGUAGUAAGUCUUGAACAGGACAUGCGCGGUGCUUCUUGCCUUGUGUGUCACCGUCAGUUCGCAACUGGGGAAAACUUCAGGGACAUGGUAGCCUGUCUCCGGGUGGGUGAACGUGUUUGCUGGAACUCAUUUGCGGAUUGCUUGGUGACUAAAUGGUUCCAUCUGACCCGUCUUGAAACACGGACCAAGGAGUCUAACAUAUGUGCAAGUUCACGGGUGUUAAACCUGCUUGCGUAAUGAAAGUGACUGCUGGGAUUUUUGCACCAGCAACCGACCAAUCAAUUGAGAGAGGUUUGAGUAUGAGCAUAUCUGUUAGGACCCGAAAGAUGGUGAACUAUGCCUGUGAAGGGCAAACUCAGGGGAAACUCUGAUGGAGGCUCGUAGCGGUACUGACNG
RNAcentral lists this ribosomal RNA (815 nucleotides) under Scrippsiella trochoidea. RNAcentral describes it as "eukaryotic LSU rRNA". It matches the Rfam family "Eukaryotic large subunit ribosomal RNA", at positions 70 to 892 of the family's 3401-position model. Lineage: Eukaryota; Dinophyceae; Peridiniales; Peridiniaceae. The record is from RNAcentral.